This is an RNA transcript of Magnolia sinica, 4027 nucleotides long. RefSeq lists it as uncharacterized. The transcript has 5 exons. NCBI's taxonomy places the organism in Eukaryota, Viridiplantae, Streptophyta, Magnoliopsida, Magnoliales, Magnoliaceae. The record is from RefSeq and is a predicted model, not a curated record.
UCAGAUCAUUCUCUUCCUCUCAUGUUUCUCUGCAAAUCGGUUAUCUUAAACACCUCAAUAACAACGUAGAGACAUCGAAGAGCGAAACGGAAGAACGGCAAGACAAGCGUGACCAAAUUCAAGCGGACCUCGAUCAUGCUAUGUCAGUCGGAAAGAAACGGAAACCCCAAGUGGAGAAAUGGCUCGUGAACGUCACCAAUAUCAGAGCUCAAGUCGAUUCUAUCAGAUCGGAAUUCGAGCAGCAGAAAACGUGUUUGAAUGGUUGUUGCGCCGAUCACUUCUCUCGCUACAAACUGGGUAAAAGGGUUGUUAAAAAGAUCGAAGAUGUCAAAAACCUCAAAAUAAAAGGAGUCUUCUAAAAGGUGGCUGAGAGCCCUCGCCGGCCGUGGGUGUUGGAGAUGCAAACAUCGCCACCUUUAGGACAACAAAGCACAUCUGAGCAAACCAUGGGGCAUAUAUGGCAAUGCUUACACGACGAGGAGAAUGGCGUCGUAGGUGUUUACGGGAUGGGAGGAAUUGGGAAAACCACUUUCACGAAAGACAUAAAGAAUAUGUUCAUUGGAAUUGAUGACUUCAACGUUGUGAUUUGGGUUGCAAUUUCACAUAAAUGAAGAGACGAGGGACAUGUUGUUUGUGCGGUUGAAGAGUCUGAGGUAUGUGCUCAUCUUAGAUGAUCUAUGGGAAUAAUUUACCUCGGAUCAAGUCGGAAUUCCAAAGCCAGACAAGCAAAAAAGAUGCAAGAUCAUGAUAACCACCUGAUCGGUUGCAGUGUGUAAUGCAAUGGGGGUGGAUGCGGUUCUGUCAUUGGAGAUUCGACCGGUAGCAGAGAAGGUUGUGGAGGAGUGCAGCGGAUUACCACUUGCAAUUAAAAUAGUGGGACGGGCGCUAUGGGAGAAUGCAUUGAGGGCAUUGAAAGGAUCAUCACCUGAGGUUCCAAGUAUGGAGUGUAAGGUGUUUCUUCCUUUGAAACUUAGUUAUGAUUGCCUAGAAAACGAUAAGAUCAAAUCAUGUUUCCUGUAUUGUUCAUUGUUUCCGGAAGAUUAUAAUAUAAAAAUAGAUCAUCUAAACACAUACUAGGCCGUGGAGGAAGGAUUCAUCAAAAAUGUGAAUAACUUGGAAGAAGCAUCUAACAAGGGGCAUGACAUCCUUGAAAGAAUCAAGGACGCAUGCCUCUUGGAGGAAGGGUUUGUAGCUAAUGUACAUGUCAAGAUUCAUGAUUUGCUCCGCGACUUAGCUAUAUGGAUCACUUCACAAUGGUUGUCAUCAUCCAACGAGGGCUCAGAAUUCCUUGUGAAAGCCGGGGAGGGACUAGUGCAGCCACCAGAAGAGAAAAUGUGGGGAGAGAUUGUAAGGAUUUCAUUGAUACGCUACAAAAUAAAAGAUCUCCAAAUUAAGCCCGAUUGCCCUAACUUGGUCUCCUUGUUUCUCAAUGACAACAAUCAAUUAUGUACCGUUCACAGUAGUUUCUUCGAGCUCAUGCUGAAACUUCAGAUCCUUGAUCUAAGUCAUUCUUGCAUCAAAUCUCUCCAGUGUCGUUAUUGCUAUUGUUGAAUCUACGUGCGCUCAUUCUAAGAUAUUGUAGACAUCUAGUGGAGGUGCUAGCAUUGGGAAAUUUGAAGGAACUCGAACUUCUUGAGCUCUCACACUCUGGCCUCAAAAAGUUUCCUCAAGGCAUUGCAAGCUUGGUUAAACUUCAGAGGUUAAAUCUAUCAUGUUCUCAUCUCCCCGCAGUUCCAUUGAAUAUGAUAUUCAGGCUACCUAGUCUGGAGGAUCUAAGCAUGUUGGGGCUGGGAUAUGUUGAUGGAGCUACUUUUGGUGAGGCUGUGACCAUGACAUGGCUGAGUUCUUUAAGAAUCACCAUGUCCAAUCUUAAUGGCCUCAUCCCAUAUGGUUUGUUCCAUCGAUGGUUUUCAGGGUUGAGAAGAUUCCAUGUUCAGCUUGUCUAUCAAGGGAGUGAUAUCCUCAUGCAUCCUUCUGAUAAGCAGAUAAGCAUUUGUGGAUGUCACAAUUUCCCCUGCGGGAUUGAGGGUUUGAUAAAACAUUCAAUCUCUUUAUUCUUCGAAAAAUGCAGAGACAUCUUGAAGUCUAUGGAUUCAGUGGAGUGGAAUGCAUUAUAGACUGGAGAGAGGUUGAAGAAUAUGCAUUGCAAUGUUUACAGCAGUUGGAUCUCGUUGGUUUACCAAACUUGGAGAAGGUAUUCGAUGGUGGAGCACCUCCACCGAACACAUGCCUUCAAAACCUAAGAAAUAUAUAUCUUGUAGAAUGUCCCAAUUUAAGGUGUCUCUUCUCCUCUAGUAUGGAUGGUAGAACAUCUACAUCAGUUAGAGAAGCUUCAAGUAUCGUACUGUUCCAAAAUGGAGGAUUAUAGAAGGCGACAUGCUGCUAGAUAAUUCAUUCCCAAGAUUACACUCCCUAUAUUUGGAGAACUUGCCGAAAUUAGCAAGCAUUCGUAGCCAGCGACUUAGUUUUGUAUCUUUGGAAGAGAUCCAUGUAAUUUCGUGUCCUGGGUUGAAGAAGCUCCCCCUCUUCUGUUCAAGCAUCAAUGAAAUAAAAGGAGGAAUAGCAGGUGAGAGAGAAUGGUGGGAAGGAUUAGAGUGGGAAGACGAGAAUGCCAAGUCCCUCUACCCCAGCAUUUAUGAAAGUGCCUGAUCACAGUUGAAGAAGCUUCCUCUCUUUGAUGCGGAAAAGGGAGAUUUUCUGAAUAUUACCAUGAGAAGAACAUCAAACUCUAAAAUCUUCUGAGAUAUUCCCAUUCCGAGAAAUUGGAACCAUUGUUGCGUCUAAGUUUUUAUGUGCUAAUGGAAGUACUCUUUUCAAAGUACGAGAGGGAACUAUCAAGUUACUUGGAAAGUCAGACAUGUACUAUUUCAAUCCUGAGCAUCCUCCCUUGACUGAACCAGCUCAAAGGGCACUCAAUUGGGCUCUUGAUGAAAAGAUGAAAUCAGGUUAGUUUUGUGCAUGGAUUUUCAUGUCAAAAUUGCUAGCUUUUGGGCCAUGGUGGUUUUAGUAUAUUAUCUUUUACAGUGAGAAGAGGGUAAGAGGCUUUUGGAGUAGAAAAGAGGAUGGAAAGGAGAUUUCCUGUUUUGAGAAAUGAGUUUGCUGGUUUUGGUAUGGAUGGAGAGCUCCAAUGUGCAAGCCCUCUCCUUCUGGCAUAAACUACGAAGAAUGUAUCGGACGGUUGAACCGGAUUGAGAGCAAUGCCGCAGCUAUUCAGCAAAUGCCAAGAGCAUUACAGGCAGCAUUUGAUAACAGAUUUGAUGGGGAGACAUCAUCACCAGCUCUAUGUUGGAACUUGGAGAACCUGCGAACAAAGUGCUUGGAAUCGCUACAAUGUAUUAGAAGAUUCGGAGCAGUUGCAGACCUGUUCUCAGGUGCCUGAAUCAUUGGAUGGAGAAAGCAUUGCAUCUUCAACCACCGAAAGCUGGGAGUCUAAAACCAAAAUCCAUGAAUUCAAUAAAUAUUCAUACUUCAGCAGUCAAAGGAGCAACAAAGAAAGAGGGCAUUCAGAAAGGAAUGCAUGCAGCCAACUGAUACUUUUUCCGAGGAGACAACUAAUACUUAAAAAAGGAAUGUCUCCACCAGUAAUGGAAGAAAUCAGCUUGUGUGCUUGAAUAAGGAUGAACUUGAAACAACACCGAAGAUGUUGCAUCAAAGUUCAUAUUUGUAUUUACUUCUGUGGAUUUUCUGUCAAGGUCUUUUUUCAGUAGGAAAGGAGGGAAAGGUAAGUGUUUGAGCAUGGGUGUGACGACAGUUUGAAUUGUUGUUAUGUAGUGUUUAAGCAUAGUAUGUUGAUUGUUUGAGAUGCAUAUCAAUUUCAUAUUACCUGCGUAUCAACCAUCACACCCUGCCAAGAGUACCAAAGCUUUUCUCUUCAUACUCCAGAUACGGUACGAUCGAGAAAUUGUUGAUGCAGAAAUUGUAUCUUUGCAUUCACAGUUGCAUGAACAUUGUGAUGAAAAUUUCAUUCAAAAUCUAGCUCUGUCAAUUGUAAUUCUUGCAGCAAGGUGAAGGGAAUUUAGAUUACUUA